Molecule: long non-coding RNA, 420 nt
Filed under: Sus scrofa (pig)
Lineage: Eukaryota; Metazoa; Chordata; Mammalia; Artiodactyla; Suidae
Description: lncRNA (ENSSSCG00070017830.1)
Source: RNAcentral
CCUGGGGAGUUUCCUUGGUUUCCAGAGUGAUGCCCAGAGAAUAUGUAUUUGAAAGCCUGGCGCUCUCUCUCCACAAGGAUGGCUUUCCCAGUUCCCAAUUACAACAGUAACAGACGCGUCCAGUUACGUAUACGAUAUAUCCCCGGGGAUAAGCACUCGAUAUAGAUCCACUUUGGGUCUAAUUUAUCUUGCCUGCAGGUGUAUUUACUGAGAAAAACCUCACCCAUCGGCCCAGGAGUAUUUGCCCUAGCUUCUGAGCCAUCAGAAUUGGAGCAAGAUAUUUAUCAGCAAACUCAGCAUUAUCAUUUUUGGAUUUUAGGGUAUAAACUGGUGAGUAUCUGGCAAAGGUUUAGCUGAAACUUCCUAUUCUGUCCCGGAGGCCGCUUGUCAACUGGGCAUUAGCUCUGAGUCUCUGCAUUU